GACGAACGCUGGCGGCGUGCUUAACACAUGCAAGUCGAACGAGAAUCUGUGGAAAGAGGAUUCGUCCAAUUGAAGCAGAGGACAGUGGCGGACGGGUGAGUAACGCGUGAGGAACCUGCCUUUCAGAGGGGGACAACAGUUGGAAACGACUGCUAAUACCGCAUAACAUAUAGAUGUCGCAUGGCAUUUAUAUCAAAGAUUUAUCGCUGAAAGAUGGCCUCGCGUCUGAUUAGCUAGUUGGUGAGGUAACGGCCCACCAAGGCGACGAUCAGUAGCCGGACUGAGAGGUUGAACGGCCACAUUGGGACUGAGAUACGGCCCAGACUCCUACGGGAGGCAGCAGUGGGAAUAUUGGGCAAUGGGCGCAAGCCUGACCCAGCAACGCCGCGUGAAGGAAGAAGGCUUUCGGGUUGUAAACUUCUUUGUCAGGGACGAGUAGAAGACGGUACCUGACGAAUAAGCCACGGCUAACUACGUGCCAGCAGCC
Molecule: ribosomal RNA, 487 nt
Filed under: uncultured bacterium
Lineage: Bacteria
Description: bacterial SSU rRNA
Rfam family: Bacterial small subunit ribosomal RNA
Source: RNAcentral